Molecule: ribosomal RNA, 361 nt
Filed under: uncultured Bacillus sp.
Lineage: Bacteria; Bacillati; Bacillota; Bacilli; Caryophanales; Bacillaceae
Description: bacterial SSU rRNA
Rfam family: Bacterial small subunit ribosomal RNA
Source: RNAcentral
AGAGUUUGAUCCUGGCUCAGGACGAACGCUGGCGGCGUGCCUAAUACAUGCAAGUCGAGCGGACAGACGGGAGUUUGCUCCCUGAAGUCAGCGGCGGACGGGUGAGUAACACGUGGGCAACCUGCCUGUAAGACUGGGAUAACUCCGGGAAACCGGGGCUAAUACCGGAUAAUUCUUUCCCUCACAUGAGGGAAAGCUGAAAGAUGGUUUCGGCUAUCACUUACAGAUGGGCCCGCGGCGCAUUAGCUAGUUGGUGAGGUAACGGCUCACCAAGGCAACGAUGCGUAGCCGACCUGAGAGGGUGAUCGGCCACACUGGAACUGAGACACGGCCCAGACUCCUACGGGAGGCAGCAGAAGGG